CCUACGGGGGGCUGCAGUGGGGAAUAUUGCACAAUGGGGGAAACCCUGAUGCAGCGACGCCGCGUGAGGGAAAAAGGUUUCGGGACCGAAAACUUUUUCACGAAGGAAAGAAAAAAUGAUAGGUACUGAACUAAGAGGCCCAGCCCAACGAGGGGCCGGCGGCGGGGGAAAGAUGUGGGGGGGAGGGGUAAUCCGGAAUCACGGGGGUUAAAGGGUGCGUAGGCGGUAGGGCAAGUCAGAUGUGAAAGACCGGGGCUCAACCCCGGGACUGCAUUUGAAACUGUCUUACUAGAGUGCAGGAGAGGAAAUCGGAAUUCCUAGUGUAGCGGUGAAAUGCGUAGAUAUUAGGAAGAACACCAGUGGCGAAGGCGGCUUUCUGGACUGUAACUGACGCUGAGGCACGAAAGCGUGGGGAGCGAACAGGAUUAGAUACCCGAGUAGUC
This 443-nucleotide ribosomal RNA is filed under the name uncultured bacterium. RNAcentral describes it as "partial 16S ribosomal RNA". It matches the Rfam family "Bacterial small subunit ribosomal RNA", at positions 338 to 795 of the family's 1533-position model. The record is from RNAcentral.